GGGAGUAUAGCUCAAUUGGUUGAGCAUUCGUUUUGCAAACGAAAGGUUAUUGGUUCGACCCCGAUUAUUUCCA
RNAcentral lists this transfer RNA (73 nucleotides) under Flavobacteriales bacterium. Its description in RNAcentral is "tRNA-Ala". It matches the Rfam family "tRNA". From Rfam's summary of the family: Transfer RNA (tRNA) molecules are approximately 80 nucleotides in length. Lineage: Bacteria; Pseudomonadati; Bacteroidota; Flavobacteriia; Flavobacteriales. The record is from RNAcentral.